UACGUAGGGUGCGAGCGUUGUCCGGAAUUACUGGGCGUAAAGAGCUCGUAGGUGGUUUGUCGCGUUGUUCGUGAAAACCGGGGGCUUAACCCUCGGCGUGCGGGCGAUACGGGCAGACUGGAGUACUGCAGGGGAGACUGGAAUUCCUGGUGUAGCGGUGGAAUGCGCAGAUAUCAGGAGGAACACCAAUAGCGAAGGCAGCUCGCUGGGACGUUACUGACACUGAGGCGCGAAAGCGUGGGGAGCGAUCCGG
RNAcentral lists this ribosomal RNA (253 nucleotides) under uncultured bacterium. Its description in RNAcentral is "partial 16S ribosomal RNA". It matches the Rfam family "Bacterial small subunit ribosomal RNA", at positions 524 to 776 of the family's 1533-position model. The record is from RNAcentral.